CAAUGAAUCUGCGACCCUGUGCACUUCAUGUCCAAAAGGCACAUAUCUGCUGGCCCAGGCCUGUGUCUCCUCCUGUCCCGAAGGCACGUGGGCCUCGGCGAGGAGUGGCAGCUGCGAGAACUGUACCGAGGGCUGCGACUCCUGCUCUGGGGCCGAUCUCUGCAGAAAGUGCCGGACUUGGCCAGACUUCCCUCUCCUCCUCCACGAAGGCAGGUGCUACAGCAAGUGUCCCAAGGGCUCCUAUGCAGAAGAUGGCACGUGUAAGCACUGCAGCUCUCCUUGCAGCACGUGCGAAGGAAACGCCACCAACUGCCACUCUUGCCAAGGAAGCCUCAUCCAACACCAGGGAGCAUGCUGGGAAGCCUGCCCCGAGAGGCACGUGGCCGUGGACGGGGUGUGCAAGCAUUGCCCUGAGAUGUGUCAGGACUGCAUCCAUGAGAAGACAUGCAAAGGUACAUAGGAGAAUCCCAGGGGAGAGUGUGGCUGUCCCAAGCCACCGCCCCUGGGGACCGACUAUCGAGGGGGCGGGGGUGUCCAUGCAGAAUGAAGGGAACCAGUCUCCUUACCUUUACCGAAAUCUAUACAACUCUGUGCACAUCGCUGAGGAAAUCAAGGGUGAGAGUAAAGCCUUGCCAUUAUGGAUUCUUCCAGUGAAGACAGAUGAAAGCCCCUCUUCUGCAUGACUUCUUCCGUGCAGGUGUACUGAGCACUUAGGGGUAUGCCAAGCACCAUCCCAGCUGCUCGAGGUAC
RNAcentral lists this long non-coding RNA (750 nucleotides) under Ursus maritimus (polar bear). Its description in RNAcentral is "lncRNA (ENSUMAG00000022161.1)". Lineage: Eukaryota; Metazoa; Chordata; Mammalia; Carnivora; Ursidae. The record is from RNAcentral.